GGCGCUGGGCAGGGGCGCGCACGGCGAGGCGCACGGCGCCGGGGCGCCUCUGGGCCCUUCCCCGGGCUCCCGCGGAGGGUGGCUGUGCGGCCGCUCACCUGCGUCCCCGCCUCUCCGGCUGCUGCGCGCCGGCACCGGGCCGCUUUCAUCCUCUUCUGCGGGGCCUGGCUUAGCGCCUUCAAGAAACGGGUAGAACUAGCCGGAGCCAUCGGUGUAGAAACACUGUCGUCAGAAGCAGAGGAGAGCAAGGAUUAAAGUACCCACAGUUGAAGCAGCUGCAUGGAGCUUGGAAGAGCAACCAGUUGGAACCAAGCCGAGAAAGCAGUGGACCCCGCAUCUACAGGGAAGGCCAGGUCGCGAAGGCCAGUGUCCACACCGCCACAGGGGGGUGCUCCCAGGACAGUGGAGAGGUCAGGGGCUCAGCACCUCUGCAGGCUGGAUAGUGGCAAGGAUGCAGUGUGCCCUCCCUGGACCCCUCUGAUUCUUCCCAUCCGGUUAAGGAAAGACUGAUGACAGGGCCCCGGGGACAAGCCGUUUCCAUGGUUCCCAGACUUCUGGAUUCCAGACGCCAAUGACAGCUCAAAAAAAAAAAUUUUUUUUUGGGUGACCUACAUAGAUUUGUCAACCAUUUAUGUGGCCAAGUGAGAGGGAAAAGCAAAACAAAACCUGCCAUCUCCCAUCAGAAUCAUUUUAUUACAGAAAACUUUUUUCACCCAAAUACAGAAAGGACAUUACCUCAGCUAAAGACAAUGUUUUGCAUGGAAUAUUCUUAGCUGGGUGGACAUCUCCCGGGUUUGGCCGUAUUACUGUCGUGUGGGUGUGACCAUCUCUGUGGGCAAACUAGUGCCCAGCUUGGAAUUUCGGACCCAAGAUCCAGCUGCACGUGGCCAGCCCUGCCCCCGUCACACCCGCUUGGGGCUGGGCAACCUGUGCUCACAUGGCCCAGCUCAUCGCCCACUGCCUGUCACCCACGCCCAGCUCUGCUCCCGCUGUGGCCUCCCCUGGGCCAGCCUGGCUGCCUGGUCUCCUUGCCUGAGUCGGCAGAAGCAUCAGCCUCAUUCUCCUUAAAGCAUCUGUGCCCCUUGAUUAAUGUGCCUUUCAAAUGAUUACUAAGUCAGCAUUAUUUUAGCCUCCACAGUUGUCACUGGGCCAGUCCUGAGCCCAGAGAUAUCACUUGAGCCCUUCCAUUCUCCAGGGAGCAGAAAAAAGAAGGUCCUGCGUUUCCUGGGAGGAAACUUAGUAGGAUUGUGCUGUUUCUACCAUCUUUCCCAAAGAAAAUGUGAAAUAAAGACUUCCACCCUAUAUAGAAGCACCUCCUAGUCUCAGACCACAAGCGUUUUCCAUGUGUUAAUCAUCUCAUGCAGCGGUGGAGGCUUUUAGACACCCAGAUAUUCAAGCUUUCUGAAGAGCUACCCAAUGCAUUCGAUGACUAAAUGGAAGUUAUAUUAGUUUUCUAUAGACUGGGAAAGAUUUUUUUUUUAAUUUGAGUCCAAUAUCCUUUACCUUCCUUUAAAGGCUUUCAAUUUGUAUGUGAAUGUUUCAUAGGACCUCUGAUGAUUAGAAUAUUGAUAACCAUAAUUGGGCAAAUACUUAAGACAUAUUCAUUCAUUCAACAAAUGUUCUUAAAGCACCUACUACGUGCCAACCACAGCACUGGCUUUGGAGAUACAAUAAUGAAAACCCAUUCUUUUCCUCAAGGGCUUAGGAAUUUUAGUCCGGGGAACAGACAUGUCAACAUAAAGAGAAGUGCUCAGGGCUUUCCUGGUUCCCUGGGCAGGUCCAGAGCAGCGUAAGGGAGCGGGCAUCACCAGUUCCACCUGAGUGAUGGGGAGCAGCUUCCCAGGGGCAGCAGACACUGGGGUGGGGGGGUUGCGGAUGGUGAGGGCCGUGGGGGCCACCCGAGGAGUCUGGGCAUCCUCAGGGAAGGAGGGCAGGGAGGCUGUGCUGCUUACUGGUCUCCCAGCUCAGAGCCAUCUUCUCAGCUCUGCAUUUUGACGCGGGGCUAAGACUAUGCAGGUCCCUUUGCCAGCUGGCUCCCUGCUAGGCUCCACCAGCGAGAGGCCUGGAGGAGCUGGGCAGCUGGAGGAGGGAGCAGGGCCUGCUCGCCUACUGGUCUUGACAGCACUGCACCCUGAACCAGCCUGCCCGCACCUGGCAGAGGUGGCAGCUCCCACAGGCAGCAGUCUUGCCCCCAGCGCCUCUUGGCCGCAGCCCCUGGCACCCCUCCCUCCCAGCAGGUUCUGGCAACCCCAGCUCUGAGGCUGGGAGCUGCUUCCUGCCUUACUAUCUCUGCGGCCUCAGUUCUCUUUUUUUGCCUUUUUACCUGCUUAUCCAAUUUCUUUUAUUCAGUUCUCUCUGUUGAAAUACCCAGUGUUGUUUCUGUUGUCCUGACCGACCAUGAUUGAUGUCAUGCUGGGAGUGAUGGUCCAAGAAAGCAGACUCACAGGUCAGGCCACGGGACUGAUGUGGGCAGGGCAGGCCUUGAAUGCAGUGCCAGGCUCCUUGCUGAUGAGAAGCGGCCCAUGGUGGCCGCGCAUCACUAUCAGUCAGAUGAUCACCCGUGGUUCGUUGUGAUGAAGCAUUGACUGGCCUGUCUCAAGGACCAAGAGGCUGUGGCCCUUGACCAUUAGGGCAGCAACGAACAUUCCUGGGUGGUAGCUGGGGGGGCCUGCAGCUGUGUUUAAGAAGGAAGCCAGCAUGUGAGGGCACGCCUACAGGAGUGGAGAUUCGGACUCUCCUGCAAACUAAACUCAGUAACUUCUUGGUUUGAAUAUGUGUGAGAAAGCUCAUUCUGAAAUGCCCUUAUUCACGUGUUAAAGUAAAUAACUUUUGGAGCAUGCCGAGAACUGAACAAGAUACCCCAGACGACCCGCCAGAGCACAGUUGGACGCUAACCUAAGCAGCUUUAAGUAUCAGGGAAUCAUAACACCUGCUCCUCAGUCCAGGCACCUGCUCCACACUCGCAGUUACUCUCUGAGAGCAAAACGGAGGGGUUUACUUUGACCCCAGUCACAUUUCCCUUUGCCAAGCCGUCCACAAAAGUCCCUGAGGCCUUAUUCUGUUAUCUACUGUGAGUUACCUCUUUGGUUU
Molecule: long non-coding RNA, 3090 nt
Organism: Orcinus orca (killer whale)
Lineage: Eukaryota; Metazoa; Chordata; Mammalia; Artiodactyla; Delphinidae
Exons: 3
Source: RefSeq, a predicted model, not a curated record